This 377-nucleotide ribosomal RNA is filed under the name uncultured eukaryote. RNAcentral's name for it is "partial 18S ribosomal RNA". It matches the Rfam family "Eukaryotic small subunit ribosomal RNA", at positions 592 to 976 of the family's 1831-position model. The record is from RNAcentral.
CAAUAGCGUAUAUUAAAGUUGUUGCAGUUAAAAAGCUCGUAGUUGGAUUUCGGGGCAGCCUGGCUGGUCCGCCGCAAGGCGAGUACUGGUCAGCCGCCCUUCCUCUCGAAAGCCCCGACUGCUCUUCGUUGCAGUGGUCGGGUAGUUCGGGACGUUUACUUUGAAAAAAUUAGAGUGUUCAAGGCAGGCCUACGCCUGAAUACAUUAGCAUGGAAUAAUGGAAGAGGACCUCGAUCCUAUUUUGUUGGUUUCCAGGGCCGAAGUAAUGAUUAAGAGGGACAGUUGGGGGCAUUCGUAUUUAAUUGUCAGAGGUGAAAUUCUCGGAUUUAUGAAAGACGAACAACUGCGAAAGCAUUUGCCAAGGAUGUUUUCAUUAA